UUCCGGUUGAUCCUGCCGGAGGCCAUUGCUAUCGGGGUCCGACUCAGCCAUGCUAGUCGUGCGGGUUCAGACCCGCGGCAGACAGCUCAGUAACACGUGGCCAAACUACCCUCUGGACGCGGACACCCUCGGGAAACUGAGGCUAAUCCACGAUACGGCUCCCGCGCUGGAAUGCGGGGAGCCGGAAACGCUCCGGCGCCAGAGGAUGUGGCUGCGGCCGAUUAGGUAGACGGUGGGGUAACGGCCCACCGUGCCCAUAAUCGGUACGGGAUGUGAGAGCAAAUAGCCCGGAGAUGGAUUCUGAGACAAGAAUCCAGGCCCUACGGGGCGCAGCAGGCGCGAAACCUUUACACUGCACGCCAGUGCGAUAAGGGGACCCCGAGUGCGAGGGCAUACAGUCCUCGCUUUUGUACACCGUAAGGAGGUGCACGAAUAAGGGCUGGGCAAGACCGGUGCCAGCCGCCGCGGUAAUACCGGCAGCCCGAGUGAUGGCCGCUGUUAUUGGGCCUAAAGCGUCCGUAGCCGGCCGAACAGGUCUGUCGGGAAAUCCAUCUGCCUAACAGAUGGGCGUCCGGCAGAAACUGUUCGGCUUGGGGCCGGAAGAUCCGAGGGGUACGUCCGGGGUAGGAGUGAAAUCCCGUAAUCCUGGGACGGACCGCCGGUGGCGAAAGCGCCUCGGAAGGACGGACCCGACGGUGAGGGACGAAAGCUGGGGUCUCGAACCGGAUUAGAUACCCGGGUAGUCCCAGCCGUAAACGAUGAUCGCUAGUGUGUGGCACAGGCUACGAGCCUGUGCUGUGCCGUAGGGAAGCCGUGAAGCGAUCCGCCUGGGAAGUACGUCCGCAAGGAUGAAACUUAAAGGAAUUGGCGGG
RNAcentral lists this ribosomal RNA (872 nucleotides) under uncultured archaeon. Its description in RNAcentral is "bacterial SSU rRNA". It matches the Rfam family "Archaeal small subunit ribosomal RNA", at positions 1 to 872 of the family's 1478-position model. The record is from RNAcentral.